AGAACGAACGCUGGCGGCAUGCCUAACACAUGCAAGUCGAACGAGACCUUCGGGUCUAGUGGCGCACGGGUGCGUAACGCGUGGGAACCUGCCCCUUGGUUCGGAAUAACACAGAGAAAUUUGUGCUAAUACCGGAUAAUGACUUCGGUCCAAAGAUUUAUCGCCGAGGGAUGGGCCCGCGUAGGAUUAGCUUGUUGGUGGGGUAAUGGCCUACCAAGGCGACGAUCCUUAGCUGGUCUGAGAGGAUGAUCAGCCACACUGGGACUGAGACACGGCCCAGACUCCUACGGGAGGCAGCAGUGGGGAAUAUUGGACAAUGGGCGAAAGCCUGAUCCAGCAAUGCCGCGUGAGUGAUGAAGGCCUUAGGGUUGUAAAGCUCUUUUACCCGGGAUGAUAAUGACAGUACCGGGAGAAUAAGCUCCGGCUAACUCCGUGCCAGCAGCCGC
RNAcentral lists this ribosomal RNA (446 nucleotides) under uncultured bacterium. RNAcentral's name for it is "SSU rRNA". It matches the Rfam family "Bacterial small subunit ribosomal RNA", at positions 26 to 518 of the family's 1533-position model. The record is from RNAcentral.